RNAcentral lists this ribosomal RNA (253 nucleotides) under uncultured bacterium. RNAcentral describes it as "partial 16S ribosomal RNA". It matches the Rfam family "Bacterial small subunit ribosomal RNA", at positions 524 to 776 of the family's 1533-position model. The record is from RNAcentral.
UACGGAGGGUGCAAGCGUUAAUCGGAAUUACUGGGCGUAAAGCGCACGUAGGUGGCUGAAUAAGUCUGAUGUGAAAGCCCUGGGCUUAACCUGGGAACUGCAUUGGAUACUGUUCGGCUCGAGUAUGGUAGAGGGAAGUGGAAUUCCGGGUGUAGCGGUGAAAUGCGUAGAUAUCCGGAGGAACACCAGUGGCGAAGGCGGCUUCCUGGACCAAUACUGACACUGAGGUGCGAAAGCGUGGGUAGCAAACAGG